This 253-nucleotide ribosomal RNA is filed under the name uncultured bacterium. RNAcentral's name for it is "partial 16S ribosomal RNA". It matches the Rfam family "Bacterial small subunit ribosomal RNA", at positions 524 to 776 of the family's 1533-position model. The record is from RNAcentral.
UACGUAGGUGGCAAGCGUUGUCCGGAAUUAUUGGGCGUAAAGCGCGCGCAGGCGGUCUUUUAAGUCUGAUGUGAAAGCCCACGGCUCAACCGUGGAGGGUCAUUGGAAACUGGGAGACUUGAGUGCAGAAGAGAAGAGUGGAAUUCCACGUGUAGCGGUGAAAUGCGUAGAGAUGUGGAGGAACACCAGUGGCGAAGGCGACUCUUUGGUCUGUAACUGACACUGAGGCGCGAAAGCGUGGGGAGCAAACAGG